RNAcentral lists this long non-coding RNA (830 nucleotides) under Numida meleagris (helmeted guineafowl). RNAcentral describes it as "lncRNA (ENSNMEG00000005969.1)". Lineage: Eukaryota; Metazoa; Chordata; Aves; Galliformes; Numididae. The record is from RNAcentral.
AUCGGUCUCCACACCCUUAAACUCCGUGAUAAAACUGUUUCUAGUCAUCUGAGGAUCUUCCAGCCUCCACAGAAUCGGAAUUUCCAGAUCUGUAGCUGGCAUAUAGGAAAGCUGUCCUGCCCUGUUUGGAGGAAAGGUGAAUCUUGCCUAGUGAAGGAAAGGAAGGAGCAUUUGGAAACGCACACUCAACUGGAUAGCACACAGAUGACAACAGCCUGCCCGCAAUGCCUGUGCUGAUCCUCACAAGCAGUAAAGCAGGGUGCUGAGAACCACAGCCACAGCAGAACUCCAGCUCCAAACGGCCACCCUGAAUCAGGGCUGGCAUUGCUUCCAGCACGGACAGAGAAAGAGCCAUUAACCCUGAGCAGCGCAUGCAGAUCUGGGGCUGCUCUCAGCCUGGGCCCACUGAUUCCCUUUGGAAAGGGAACGUUCUGGGCAGGACAAGCAGGGCUGGAGAGAGGAACCUCACUGGUCCAGGGGGUCUGCAAAGGGAGAGUGUGUUCCACAGCUUUAGCAGGAAGGCAAUGGUACGGACGGGCCCGUGCAGCUGGUUGGUUGUUUCCCUGCAAAGAACACCAGGGACACGCAGAGCUCCAGCAGUUAAUGCUGGAGUUGGGAGCAUUUCUGUGGUUUUUGGAGGCGGUGAGCGCCAAGUGACCAAGAGCUGCCCUGGCAGGAGAGCUCCUUUUCCUUACCCCCCUGAAACGCAGCCAGGCUCCACAGUUUUCAUUCUUCCUAUCCCCUUUUUUGAGGUCGGGACACCUCGGGCUCGAAGUUAUGAUCAGUGUAGAAUCCCCAAUCAUUGUUUUUUUAUUAACAAAGCUUUUUGA